UUCACUGUAUGCACAUAUCAUACUUGUUUAUUCAUUCACCUUUUGAUGAAAACUGGGGUUGUUAGUUUUUUGGUUAUUAUGGACAUUUUUACAUAAGUCCUUUUAGGGUCAGAGGGACAUUUGUAUCAUUAAAUGCUGAAAUUAGAAAAGACGAGCUCAGUUUUGAAUAAGUUAAGUCAGAGGUACUUGUGGGACAUUCAUUCAGGUAGUGAGGUGCAGGACCAGUUGGAGUACAGUCUAAGGCACAGGAGGGAGAAGUGGGCUAGCAAUUUAGAUUUCUGUAGUCGCUGCCCAUUGUGUAGAGUUAAAGCCACGGGAAAGUCCUCAGUACAGCACAAAGCGGAGGACGAGAGAAAGCCCACGAAUUAAAUCCUGAGGAGUAUCGUAUUCGAAAAGAGGAGCCGUGUAAGGAAGCCAAGAGAAGCAUGGCCAUUUAUCUUUGAGUUUCCAUCACCCGGCACUGGACCCACCGCACAGUCAGUUCUCAAUUUGCUAAAUUUAAAAGAAUGGGCGCGAAGUACAUGGUUAUUGAUAGACCCUAUAGAAGGUGAAAGGUUGGGAGGAGAAAUGGCAUGAGUCGCGAAGGACAGAAUGAGCGUGGUAGAUUGAAGAGCGGGAGUGGUGCGGGUGAGCGCGACGGACUCCACUGUUGCUUAGGCGGGGUGGGGGACCGAGUCAUUAAUGUAGAGUAGGGAGGGUCAGACUAUGCAGGGCCUGAAACGGACGUCAGAUUGAAGAAUUUAGACUCCAACAGGCCGGCCACGCGGAGAGCCCGGUUCUGGAGUAGGGCCUAAGAACACGAGAUUUCCUUCUGGGAAGCGUACUCUGGCGGCGGCGCCCUGGUGGUGGCGGCGGAGGUGCUGCUGCUGCCUACACUGGCGACACUGCUGUUGUCAUCGGUGGUAGUGCUCUCCACUGGACUUAAGCUUUGUAGCCACUGAAAAGGAACAGUGCCGCCAGCUGCUGCUGACUUCAUGCCAUUCCCUGACCAAGUGCCCUAACUUUGCGUCUGAGCCUGGGCAGCAGAAGACAGGGGCGAUGGCAUCUAGCCGCAGCUGGGAGGCAGUGGUGCGCGCGCGGACGGGGC
RNAcentral lists this long non-coding RNA (1087 nucleotides) under Equus asinus (donkey). Its description in RNAcentral is "lncRNA (ENSEASG00005029328.1)". The record is from RNAcentral. Lineage: Eukaryota; Metazoa; Chordata; Mammalia; Perissodactyla; Equidae.